ACUGCUAAAUGCAAACAACUCGAAAGGAUCGGACGCAAAGUUACUGAUCCCGCUUCAAUCGAGGGAGAGUAGAACUACCGAG
This 82-nucleotide non-coding RNA is filed under the name unclassified sequences. RNAcentral's name for it is "c-di-GMP sequence". It matches the Rfam family "c-di-GMP-I riboswitch aptamer". From Rfam's summary of the family: GEMM was predicted in a large-scale screen for bacterial structured RNA regulatory elements. The record is from RNAcentral.